RNAcentral lists this ribosomal RNA (232 nucleotides) under uncultured bacterium. RNAcentral describes it as "partial 16S ribosomal RNA". It matches the Rfam family "Bacterial small subunit ribosomal RNA", at positions 99 to 334 of the family's 1533-position model. The record is from RNAcentral.
CGGACGGGUGAGUAAUGUCUGGGAAACUGCCCGAUGGAGGGGGAUAACUACUGGAAACGGUAGCUAAUACCGCAUAACGUCGCAAGACCAAAGAGGGGGACCUUCGGGCCUCUUGCCAUCGGAUGUGCCCAGAUGGGAUUAGCUAGUAGGUGGGGUAACGGCUCACCUAGGCAACGAUCCCUAGCUGGUCUGAGAGGAUGACCAGCCACACUGGAACUGAGACACGGUCCAG